CAAUAGCGUAUAUUAAAGUUGUUGCGGUAAAAAAGCUCGUAGUUGGAUUUCUACCGAAGAUAGCCGGUCGGGUCUUCGACCUUGUAUCUGGUUUUGUCUUUGGUUUCCUCAUAGGGAACGUUUCUGCGCUUUAUUGCGUGGUGCGGUAUCUAUGACUUUUACUUUGAGGAAAUUAGAGUGUUCACGGCAGGCAAACGCCUUGAAUAUAUUAGCAUGGAAUAAUAACAUAGGAUCUUCGUCCUAUUUUGUUGGUUUCUAGGGCUAAGAUAAUGAUUAAUAGGGAUAAUUGGGGGCAUCUGUAUCAACGCGUCAGAGGUGGAAUUCUUGGAUUGCGUUGCGACAAACUACUGCGAAAGCAUUUGCCAAGGAUGUUUUCAUUGA
RNAcentral lists this ribosomal RNA (381 nucleotides) under uncultured eukaryote. RNAcentral's name for it is "partial 18S ribosomal RNA". It matches the Rfam family "Eukaryotic small subunit ribosomal RNA", at positions 592 to 976 of the family's 1831-position model. The record is from RNAcentral.